This 71-nucleotide transfer RNA is filed under the name Candidatus Uhrbacteria bacterium. Its description in RNAcentral is "tRNA-Gly". It matches the Rfam family "tRNA". Rfam says of the family: Transfer RNA (tRNA) molecules are approximately 80 nucleotides in length. Their secondary structure includes four short double-helical elements and three loops (D, anti-codon, and T loops). The record is from RNAcentral. Lineage: Bacteria; Candidatus Uhriibacteriota.
GCAGGCGUCGUCCAAUGGUAGGGCCUUGGCCUUCCAAGCCAAUGAUGCGGGUUCGAAUCCCGCCGCCUGCU